AUGAUGGAGGCAUGAGUGGUGGGGUGAUAAUAAAAGAUUAUGCGUGUGGAUAAGAGAAGAGGUGUGUUGGGUUCAUGUCACCAUUGUUCGUUGGAGGAGAAAGCACCUCUUAUUAUUGAAGUUUAUAAAAGGAAAGGAAGCAUGGAAGGCACUCAUAAGGCCACCCUUUGAAAGGAAAAGAGAGAAACCACUGGU
Molecule: long non-coding RNA, 195 nt
Organism: Populus euphratica (Euphrates poplar)
Lineage: Eukaryota; Viridiplantae; Streptophyta; Magnoliopsida; Malpighiales; Salicaceae
Exons: 2
Source: RefSeq, a predicted model, not a curated record